GGAUUAGAUACCCUGGUAGUCCACGCCGUAAACGAUGGACACUAGUUGUUGGGGGGGUUACCCUUCAGUGACGUAGCUAACGCGUUAAGUGUCCCGCCUGGGGAGUACGCCCGCAAGGGUGAAACUCAAAGGAAUUGACGGGGGCCCGCACAAGCGGUGGAGCAUGUGCUUUAAUUCGAUGCAACGCGAAGAACCUUACCUGGGCUUGACAUGGGAGUGAAACUUCCUAGAGAUAGGAAGCCUUCCUUCGGGAACACUCUGCACAGGUGCUGCAUGGUUGUCGUCAGCUCGUGCUG
Molecule: ribosomal RNA, 296 nt
Filed under: uncultured bacterium
Lineage: Bacteria
Description: partial 16S ribosomal RNA
Rfam family: Bacterial small subunit ribosomal RNA
Source: RNAcentral